UACAGAGGUCCCAAGCGUUGUUCGGAAUUACUGGGCGUAAAGCGCACGUAGGCGGCUUUCUAAGUCGGGGGUGAAAUCCUGGAGCUCAACUCCAGAACUGCCUUCGAUACUGGAGAGCUUGAGUCCGGGAGAGGUGAGUGGAACUGCGAGUGUAGAGGUGAAAUUCGUAGAUAUUCGCAAGAACACCAGUGGCGAAGGCGGCUCACUGGCCCGGUACUGACGCUGAGGUGCGAAAGCGUGGGGAGCAAACAGG
RNAcentral lists this ribosomal RNA (253 nucleotides) under uncultured bacterium. RNAcentral describes it as "partial 16S ribosomal RNA". It matches the Rfam family "Bacterial small subunit ribosomal RNA", at positions 524 to 776 of the family's 1533-position model. The record is from RNAcentral.